CGGAGGGAUCAUUACCGAGUUUACAACUCCCAAACCCCUGUGAACAUACCACUUGUUGCCUCGGCGGAUCAGCCCGCUCCCGGUAAAACGGGACGGCCCGCCAGAGGACCCCUAAACUCUGUUUCUAUAUGUAACUUCUGAGUAAAACCAUAAAUAAAUCAAAACUUUCAACAACGGAUCUCUUGGUUCUGGCAUCGAUGAAGAACGCAGCAAAAUGCGAUAAGUAAUGUGAAUUGCAGAAUUCAGUGAAUCAUCGAAUCUUUGAACGCACAUUGCGCCCGCCAGUAUUCUGGCGGGCAUGCCUGUUCGAGCGUCAUUUCAACCCUCAAGCACAGCUUGGUGUUGGGACUCGCGUUAAUUCGCGUUCCCCAAAUUGAUUGGCGGUCACGUCGAGCUUCCAUAGCGUAGUAGUAAAACCCUCGUUACUGGUAAUCGUCGCGGCCACGCCGUUAAACCCCAACUUCUGAAUGUUGACCUCGGAUCAGGUAGGAAUACCCGCUGAACUUAAGCAUAUCAAUAAGCGGAGGAAAAGAAACCAACAGGGAUUGCCCUAGUAACGGCGAGUGAAGCGGCAACAGCUCAAAUUUGAAAUCUGGCUCUCGGGCCCGAGUUGUAAUUUGUAGAGGAUACUUUUGAUGCGGUGCCUUCCGAGUUCCCUGGAACGGGACGCCAUAGAGGGUGAGAGCCCCGUCUGGUUGGAUGCCAAAUCUCUGUAAAGUUCCUUCAACGAGUCGAGUAGUUUGGGAAUGCUGCUCUAAUGGGAGG
This 765-nucleotide ribosomal RNA is filed under the name fungal sp. RNAcentral's name for it is "eukaryotic LSU rRNA". The stretch from base 472 to 765 matches the Rfam family "Eukaryotic large subunit ribosomal RNA", at positions 1 to 299 of the family's 3401-position model. Lineage: Eukaryota; Fungi. The record is from RNAcentral.